AGUGAACGCUGGCGGUAGGCCUAACACAUGCAAGUCGAACGGCAGCACAGUAAGAGCUUGCUCUUACGGGUGGCGAGUGGCGGACGGGUGAGGAAUACAUCGGAAUCUACUUUUUCGUGGGGGAUAACGUAGGGAAACUUACGCUAAUACCGCAUACGACCUACGGGUGAAAGCAGGGGAUCUUCGGACCUUGCGCGAUUGAAUGAGCCGAUGUCGGAUUAGCUAGUUGGCGGGGUAAAGGCCCACCAAGGCGACGAUCUGUAGCUGGUCUGAGAGGAUGAUCAGCCACACUGGAACUGAGACACGGUCCAGACUCCUACGGGAGGCAGCAGUGGGGAAUAUUGGACAGUGGGCGCAAGCCUGAUCCAGCCAUACCGCGUGGGUGAAGAAGGCCUUCGGGUUGUAAAACCCUUUUGUUGGGAAAGAAAAGCAGCAGGUUAAUACCCCGCUGUUCUGACGGUACCCAAAGAAUAAGCACCGGCUAACUUCGUG
Molecule: ribosomal RNA, 492 nt
Filed under: uncultured bacterium
Lineage: Bacteria
Description: partial 16S ribosomal RNA
Rfam family: Bacterial small subunit ribosomal RNA
Source: RNAcentral